Molecule: long non-coding RNA, 279 nt
Filed under: Bos indicus x Bos taurus (hybrid cattle)
Lineage: Eukaryota; Metazoa; Chordata; Mammalia; Artiodactyla; Bovidae
Description: lncRNA (ENSBIXG00005002653.1)
Source: RNAcentral
AGUCCCCUGACUGUGCUCCUGAGAGAGCCCAGACCUCACUAUGCCUCCAAGUUUUGUGAGCGGUCAGGAGUCUGAGGGGACUGAGGUUUACUUGAUGUGACGUGUACGAGACUCCUGAGAACAGCUCUGGAACCGCGGCCCUCUGGUAUCCAGGACACUAAGGGGCUGGAAGACUGCAGACUACAUUUUCAAAUCCAUUGCCAACUGGUCUACUAUAGGAUUUCUUAAGGUCCUCAGAGACAUACAGUAAGUAAUAAAAAUAAAACUGACAAAGGAACA